Molecule: transfer RNA, 72 nt
Filed under: Phrynosoma platyrhinos (Desert horned lizard)
Lineage: Eukaryota; Metazoa; Chordata; Lepidosauria; Squamata; Phrynosomatidae
Description: tRNA-OTHER
Source: RNAcentral
GUCAGUGUGACAUAGUGGUUUGAGUGUUGGACUAAGAUACUGGAGACCAGGGUUCAAUUCCCCAAUCAGACA